This 491-nucleotide ribosomal RNA is filed under the name uncultured bacterium. Its description in RNAcentral is "partial 16S ribosomal RNA". It matches the Rfam family "Bacterial small subunit ribosomal RNA", at positions 29 to 506 of the family's 1533-position model. The record is from RNAcentral.
AGUGAACGCUGGCGGUAGGCCUAACACAUGCAAGUCGAACGGCAGCACAGUAAGAGCUUGCUCUUACGGGUGGCGAGUGGCGGACGGGUGAGGAAUACAUCGGAAUCUACUUUUUCGUGGGGGAUAACGUAGGGAAACUUACGCUAAUACCGCAUACGACCUACGGGUGAAAGCAGGGGAUCUUCGGACCUUGUGCGAUUGAAUGAGCCGAUGUCGGAUUAGCUAGUUGGCGGGGUAAAGGCCCACCAAGGCGACGAUCCGUAGCUGGUCUGAGAGGAUGAUCAGCCACACUGGAACUGAGACACGGUCCAGACUCCUACGGGAGGCAGCAGUGGGGAAUAUUGGACAAUGGGCGCAAGCCUGAUCCAGCCAUACCGCGUGGGUGAAGAAGGCCUUCGGGUUGUAAAGCCCUUUUGUUGGGAAAGAAAAGCAGCAGGUUAAUACCCCGCUGUUCUGACGGUACCCAAAGAAUAAGCACCGGCUAACUUCGU